This 253-nucleotide ribosomal RNA is filed under the name uncultured bacterium. RNAcentral describes it as "partial 16S ribosomal RNA". It matches the Rfam family "Bacterial small subunit ribosomal RNA", at positions 524 to 776 of the family's 1533-position model. The record is from RNAcentral.
UACGUAGGGUGCAAGCGUUAAUCGGAAUUACUGGGCGUAAAGCGUGCGCAGGCGGUGAUGUAAGACAGAUGUGAAAUCCCCGGGCUCAACCUGGGAAUUGCAUUUGUGACUGCAUCGCUGGAGUGCGGCAGAGGGGGAUGGAAUUCCGCGUGUAGCAGUGAAAUGCGUAGAUAUGCGGAGGAACACCGAUGGCGAAGGCAAUCCCCUGGGCCUGCACUGACGCUCAGGCACGAAAGCGUGGGGAGCAAACAGG